Molecule: ribosomal RNA, 119 nt
Organism: Cottoperca gobio
Lineage: Eukaryota; Metazoa; Chordata; Actinopteri; Perciformes; Bovichtidae
Source: Ensembl
GAUUACGGCCAUACCACACUGACAAUGCCCGAUCUCGUCUGAUUUCAGAAGCUAAGCAGAGUUGGGCUGGGUCAGUACUUGGAUGGGUGACUGCCUGGGAAUACCCGGUGCUGUAAUCA